This 1372-nucleotide ribosomal RNA is filed under the name uncultured bacterium. RNAcentral's name for it is "bacterial SSU rRNA". It matches the Rfam family "Bacterial small subunit ribosomal RNA", at positions 28 to 1381 of the family's 1533-position model. The record is from RNAcentral.
GAUGAACGCUGGCGGCAUGCCUAAUACAUGCAAGUCGAGCGAACGGACGAGAAGCUUGCUUCUCUGAUGUUAGCGGCGGACGGGUGAGUAACACGUGGAUAACCUACCUAUAAGACUGGGAUAACUUCGGGAAACCGGAGCUAAUACCGGAUAAUAUUUUGAACCGCAUGGUUCAAAAGUGAAAGACGGUCUUGCUGUCACUUAUAGAUGGAUCCGCGCUGCAUUAGCUAGUUGGUAAGGUAACGGCUUACCAAGGCAACGAUGCAUAGCCGACCUGAGAGGGUGAUCGGCCACACUGGAACUGAGACACGGUCCAGACUCCUACGGGAGGCAGCAGUAGGGAAUCUUCCGCAAUGGGCGAAAGCCUGACGGAGCAACGCCGCGUGAGUGAUGAAGGUCUUCGGAUCGUAAAACUCUGUUAUUAGGGAAGAACAUAUGUGUAAGUAACUGUGCACAUCUUGACGGUACCUAAUCAGAAAGCCACGGCUAACUACGUGCCAGCAGCCGCGGUAAUACGUAGGUGGCAAGCGUUAUCCGGAAUUAUUGGGCGUAAAGCGCGCGUAGGCGGUUUUUUAAGUCUGAUGUGAAAGCCCACGGCUCAACCGUGGAGGGUCAUUGGAAACUGGAAAACUUGAGUGCAGAAGAGGAAAGUGGAAUUCCAUGUGUAGCGGUGAAAUGCGCAGAGAUAUGGAGGAACACCAGUGGCGAAGGCGACUUUCUGGUCUGUAACUGACGCUGAUGUGCGAAAGCGUGGGGAUCAAACAGGAUUAGAUACCCUGGUAGUCCACGCCGUAAACGAUGAGUGCUAAGUGUUAGGGGGUUUCCGCCCCUUAGUGCUGCAGCUAACGCAUUAAGCACUCCGCCUGGGGAGUACGACCGCAAGGUUGAAACUCAAAGGAAUUGACGGGGACCCGCACAAGCGGUGGAGCAUGUGGUUUAAUUCGAAGCAACGCGAAGAACCUUACCAAAUCUUGACAUCCUUUGACAACUCUAGAGAUAGAGCCUUCCCCUUCGGGGGACAAAGUGACAGGUGGUGCAUGGUUGUCGUCAGCUCGUGUCGUGAGAUGUUGGGUUAAGUCCCGCAACGAGCGCAACCCUUAAGCUUAGUUGCCAUCAUUAAGUUGGGCACUCUAAGUUGACUGCCGGUGACAAACCGGAGGAAGGUGGGGAUGACGUCAAAUCAUCAUGCCCCUUAUGAUUUGGGCUACACACGUGCUACAAUGGACAAUACAAAGGGCAGCGAAACCGCGAGGUCAAGCAAAUCCCAUAAAGUUGUUCUCAGUUCGGAUUGUAGUCUGCAACUCGACUACAUGAAGCUGGAAUCGCUAGUAAUCGUAGAUCAGCAUGCUACGGUGAAUACGUUCCCGGGUCU